This 468-nucleotide ribosomal RNA is filed under the name uncultured bacterium. Its description in RNAcentral is "partial 16S ribosomal RNA". It matches the Rfam family "Bacterial small subunit ribosomal RNA", at positions 28 to 507 of the family's 1533-position model. The record is from RNAcentral.
GACGAACGCUGGCGGCGUGCUUAACACAUGCAAGUCGAACGGAAAGGCCCUGCUUUUGUGGUGUGCUCGAGUUGCUAACGGGUGAGUAACGCGUGAGAAACCUGCCCUUUACUUUGGGAUAACUUCAGUAAACUUGGGCUAAUACCGGAUAUUAGCUCCUGCUGCAUGGUGGGGGUUGUGAGGUUUCGGCGGUUGGUGAUGGACUCGGGGCUUAUCAGCUUGUUGGUGGGGUAGUGGCUUAGCAAGGCGUUGACGGGUAGGGGGCCUGAGAGGGUGACCGGCCAAAUUGGGACUGAGAUACGGCCCAGACUCCUACGGGAGGCAGCAGUGGGGAAUAUUGCACAAUGGGCGGAAGCCUGAUGCAGCAACGCCGCGUGCGGGAUGACGGCCUUCGGGUUGUAACCCGCUUUCGCCUGUGACGAAGCGUGAGUGACGGUAAUGGGUAAAGAAGCACCGGCUAACUACGUG